RNAcentral lists this non-coding RNA (48 nucleotides) under Schistosoma mansoni. Lineage: Eukaryota; Metazoa; Platyhelminthes; Trematoda; Strigeidida; Schistosomatidae. The record is from RNAcentral.
AUCCAGCUGACGAGUCACAAAUAGGACGAGAUGAGGUGCGUCCUGGAU